RNAcentral lists this RNase P RNA (316 nucleotides) under Flavobacteriaceae bacterium. RNAcentral's name for it is "RNase P RNA component class A". It matches the Rfam family "Bacterial RNase P class A". From Rfam's summary of the family: Ribonuclease P (RNase P) is a ubiquitous endoribonuclease, found in archaea, bacteria and eukarya as well as chloroplasts and mitochondria. Its best characterised activity is the generation of mature 5'-ends of tRNAs by cleaving the 5'-leader elements of precursor-tRNAs. Lineage: Bacteria; Pseudomonadati; Bacteroidota; Flavobacteriia; Flavobacteriales; Flavobacteriaceae. The record is from RNAcentral.
CUUGCAGGAUAUCUUAUCGCGUCUCGCAUUUGCGGGAUGAGGAAAGUCCGGACACCAUAGCGCAGCAUAGCGGGUAACGCCCGUCGCCCAGACAGUCACUGUCAGGGUCGGACAAGUGCAACAGAAAGCAAGUACAGGUAAUGCUGUAGUGAAAUCAGGUAAACUCUAUGCGGUGAAACGCCAAGUAUAUCAACAUUUGAGGGUAGCGCGCCCGAGUUGAAGGGUUGGCGGAUAGAAUGUUGUGGCAACACAAGAUCAAGAUAAAUGAUAAGAGCCCUUUUGGGAUACAGAAUCCGGCUUAUUUCCUGCAUAAAAA